AAAUCGGUCCUUUUCAGGACCACCAAAAAUUUAUGGAGAGAGAUAU
Non-coding RNA from Drosophila persimilis, 46 nucleotides. The record is from Rfam. Lineage: Eukaryota; Metazoa; Arthropoda; Insecta; Diptera; Drosophilidae.